Molecule: ribosomal RNA, 301 nt
Filed under: uncultured fungus
Lineage: Eukaryota; Fungi
Description: eukaryotic LSU rRNA
Rfam family: 5.8S ribosomal RNA (bases 1-113)
Source: RNAcentral
AACGCAGCAAAGGGCGAUAAGUAAUGUGAAUUGCAGAAUUCAGUGAAUCAUCGAAUCUUUGAACGCACAUUGCGCCCCCUGGUAUUCCGGGAGGCAUGCCUGUUCGAGCGUCAUUUCAACCAUCAAGCUCUGCUUGGUUAUUGGGCCCUGCCGGCAACGGCAGGCCUUAAAAUCAGUGGCGGUGCCUGGAGGCCCUGAGCGUAGUAUUUCUCUCGCUACAGGUGUCGACGGGUCGCUAGCCAGCAACCCCAAUUUUUUUAUGGUUGACCUCGGAUCAGGUAGGGAUACCCGCUGAACUUAA